UCCUGUGUAGCUCAAUGGGUAAAGAAUCUGCCUGCAAUGCAGGAGACCUGGGUUCGAUUCCAAGGUCAGAAA
This 72-nucleotide transfer RNA is filed under the name Ovis aries (sheep). It matches the Rfam family "tRNA". Rfam says of the family: Transfer RNA (tRNA) molecules are approximately 80 nucleotides in length. Their secondary structure includes four short double-helical elements and three loops (D, anti-codon, and T loops). Lineage: Eukaryota; Metazoa; Chordata; Mammalia; Artiodactyla; Bovidae. The record is from Rfam by way of RNAcentral.